AUUGAACGCUGGCGGCAGGCCUAACACAUGCAAGUCGAGCGGUAGAGAGAAGCUUGCUUCUCUUGAGAGCGGCGGACGGGUGAGUAAUGCCUAGGAAUCUGCCUGGUAGUGGGGGAUAACGUUCGGAAACGGACGCUAAUACCGCAUACGUCCUACGGGAGAAAGCAGGGGACCUUCGGGCCUUGCGCUAUCAGAUGAGCCUAGGUCGGAUUAGCUAGUUGGUGAGGUAAUGGCUCACCAAGGCGACGAUCCGUAACUGGUCUGAGAGGAUGGUCAGCCACACUGGGACUGAGAUACGGCCCAGACUCCUACGGGUGGCAG
This 321-nucleotide ribosomal RNA is filed under the name uncultured Pseudomonadota bacterium. RNAcentral describes it as "bacterial SSU rRNA". It matches the Rfam family "Bacterial small subunit ribosomal RNA", at positions 30 to 351 of the family's 1533-position model. Lineage: Bacteria; Pseudomonadati; Pseudomonadota. The record is from RNAcentral.